CCUACGGGAGGCAGCAGUGGGGGAUAUUGCACAAUGGGGGAAACCCUGAUGCAGCGACGCCGCGUGUGGGAAGACGGUCCUCUGGAUUGUAAACCACUGUCCCCAGGGACGAAGAUGACGGUACUUGGGGAGGAAGCCCCGGCUAACUACGUGCCAGCAGCCGCGGUAAUACGUAGGGAGCGAGCGUGGUCCGGAAUUACUGGGCGUAAAGGGAGCGUAGGUGGGGAUGGAAGUUGGGGGUCAAAACUACCGGCUCAACUGGUAGUCGCACUCAAAACUGCAGCUCUUGAGUGAAGUAGAGGCAAGCGGAAUUCCAAGUGUAGCGGUGAAAUGCGUAGAUAUUAGGAGGAACACCAGUGGCGAAGGCGGCCUGCUGGGCUUUUACUGACGCUGAGGCUCGAAAGUGUGGGGAGCAAACAGGAUUAGAUACCCUAGUAGUC
This 440-nucleotide ribosomal RNA is filed under the name uncultured bacterium. RNAcentral's name for it is "partial 16S ribosomal RNA". It matches the Rfam family "Bacterial small subunit ribosomal RNA", at positions 338 to 795 of the family's 1533-position model. The record is from RNAcentral.